Long non-coding RNA from Sardina pilchardus (European sardine), 1434 nucleotides. RefSeq lists it as uncharacterized. NCBI's taxonomy places the organism in Eukaryota, Metazoa, Chordata, Actinopteri, Clupeiformes, Clupeidae. The record is from RefSeq and is a predicted model, not a curated record. The transcript is spliced from 4 exons.
GUCCAAUUGUAUCACGCCAGCUCUAACGUGAAGAACUGAGACAUUAUAUGAUUGCAUUGAAGGAUCGGUGUACUUCCUCCACCAGUGUGAACAACUGACACAUUGCAUGAAGAACAUACUCCGAAAGUGGCAACUCCACUCUUCACACGUUAUUAAUACAUUUAAAGAACCUCUUUACUAGGAACCUCUUCAGUGGAGUGUAAAUGAACUGCCCAAAGCUUAAACGAAGGAACAGUAGGGAGGAUAGGCGACCUUUUUUCCUCACACUGGAAGACUGUGUAGAAACCUUUAAGAUCACGAAGACGGAGAAGAUGAAGCUGGCUGCUCAGGACAUGUGGAGAUGUGGACAUCAGGAGAUGCCCUUCAGGCUCUCCAGUUUAAGAAGUCCUCUGGAUGAUAUCCUCAACCACUAGGCCUACUCUCAAUGAAGGCAUUGAUAUUAUGGAUGUUCACUGUAGCCCUAAAAUAUGUGUGGCCUACUUCAUGAUAGCUAGACCUUUCACAAAAUUGACACUGUCUGCAGAUUGUUGUUAACAUUUUAUCAUGCUAGUGCUAAUGUGAAUGUAGCGUGGUCAAGUUCAUGCUAGCACUAGUGCUGGUGCUAAUGUUAGCGUAGCGUGGUCAAGGUCACGCUAGCACUAGUGCUGGUGCUAAUGCUAGCGUAGCGUGGUCAAGGUCACGCUAGCACUAGUGCUGGUGCUAAUGCUAGCGUAGCGUGGUCAAGUUCAUGCUAGCACUAGUGCUGGUGCUAAUCCGUAGGGUGACCAGACGUCCCCGGUUUCAGGGGACAGUCCCCGUUUUUGGUUGCCUGUCUCAGAAAAAUGACCUAUGUCCGAGUUCUUUGACGAUAAAACUUGUGUGUAUUUCGAUCAGGUUGACAGUCAAACUGAAAAUGUCCCUGUUUUUUCCACAUUUUUGGGAUUAUGUCCCCAGUUUUGGUCUCGGACAUCUGGUCAUCUUAUGCUAAUGCUAGCGCAGCGUGGUCAAAUAGAAAAGGAUGGAAUGUUUCCGUGCACACAACUUACAAUGACUAUUACACAUGAAUAGUAAUUUACGUAAUUACGCACUUACGCAACUGUUCUACAUCACCAAGAUAGAGAAUUUUAGCCUUGCACCAGAGAAGGCUUUGGCAGCUUCAGUAAUCAAGGAUGUCUGGUAGUGUGAAAUCUGCAGUUAGUUCUUUUCCCCUUGGACUCAUAUGUGAGAGUACCAACCACGAGCACUUUUCAUUUUUUCGUAAACUAAUUUCUACAUUUGUAUUUAUUUUAUUUUUUUUCAGACAACAUAAACUGGGGUUAUGUGAAUGCAUUGUGGUGCACUAUUUGUAACAACAAGUAUUUACAGAAAUGCUCCAUCCUUCAUUAAAUGUUUAUUAAUAUACAAUAUCAUUGUCCAUAUUGCAAUAUGAUGCUUUUCAACAGAGCCUUAGAAUCU